GACGAACGCUGGCGGCGUGCUUAACACAUGCAAGUCGAACGGAAAGGCCCCUUUGGGGGUACUCGAGUGGCGAACGGGUGAGUAACACGUGAGUAACCUGCCCUUGACUUCGGGAUAACUUCAGGAAACUGGGGCUAAUACCGGAUAGGAAUCCUUGCUGCAUGGUGGGGGUUGGAAAGCUUCGGCGGUUUUGGAUGGACUCGCGGCUUAUCAGCUUCUUGGUGGGGUAGUGGCUUACCAAGGCUUUGACGGGUAGCCGGCCUGAGAGGGCGACCGGCCACAUUGGGACUGAGAUACGGCCCAGACUCCUACGGGAGGCAGCAGUGGGGAAUAUUGCACAAUGGGCGGAAGCCUGAUGCAGCAACGCCGCGUGCGGGAUGACGGCCUUCGGGUUGGAAACCGCUUUCAGCAGGGGCGAAGCUUGUGGUGACGGUACCUGCAGAAGAAGCACCGGCUAACUACGUG
Molecule: ribosomal RNA, 465 nt
Filed under: uncultured bacterium
Lineage: Bacteria
Description: partial 16S ribosomal RNA
Rfam family: Bacterial small subunit ribosomal RNA
Source: RNAcentral